Molecule: RNA transcript, 1600 nt
Organism: Frankliniella occidentalis (western flower thrips)
Lineage: Eukaryota; Metazoa; Arthropoda; Insecta; Thysanoptera; Thripidae
Exons: 4
Source: RefSeq, a predicted model, not a curated record
CCGCGGUGGAGGGGGUCCGGCCCCAGUGCCGCAGCGCGAUGCGAGCAGGGCCGCCGCCGCGAGCACGGCGACCAUGAGGGUGGUCCUGGCCCUGGUGGCGCUCGCCGCCGCCGCCUCGGCGCUCGCCGACCAGCACGUGGUCGUGCUGCUCAACCAGAUCGCCCCGGGCAAGCAGGCCACCAGCUCGACGGCGGCGCCCGCGGCCACCACCAAGAAGUCCGCAAAGGCAAGCAAGAGAGUCUCGAUCUCGAAGCGCGGCGUGCUGUCGACCACGACGGAGGCGCCGCGCAUCGGCUCCAUCCACCUGAUCCUCAGCGGCACCGCGCCGCCGCCGCAGGGCCCGUACCUCCUGGACGCCAAACCCUCCACGGUGUUGACCGAGGAGAGGGCGGCGAAGAUGACGACGUCCAGCGGGAUAGCAUUCGGAGUGUGGACGGGCGUGCCGGACACGGGCAGGGGCGUGCCGGACGCAGCCAGGGACAGGCCGGCCAGCUCCUUUCAGUCGUCGUCGAGCGUGCUGAAGAUGGACCAGUCGACGGUCGAGCACACGGGGGCCGGGCCGGCGGCCGCCCUCGCGCCCCAGGAGACCCCGCCCGCCGGUGGCGCCGGCGGCGUGCUGAAGCGCGGGCUGACGUACACGGCGACCGGGCAGGCGGCAGCGGGGCCGUUUCACAAGGAAAGCAUGCGCACUUUUCAGAAGGAAGUCGUGCACUUGGGGGGCAGCUACCAAGGCGGGCAGCAGGCGGCACUGCAGAGCAUGUUUCAGCCGGGGCCGCCCGCGCCGCCGGCGCCGCAGAUGCAAGUGCCGCAGCCAGGGCCGCAGAGCCCCUUCAUGUCAGCAUCGCAGCCCGCGUUCAGUCAGCCCAGUCAGCCCAGUCAGCCGAGGAGCUUGCAGCUCGGAGUCCACACCAUUGAGCUCAAUAUAACUAGCGGGGAAGGCGGUGUCCCUCAGGUGUCCGCGAGACACGUCUCCCACGCGCCUGCUCAAUACUGAACGUUACCUUAUUCGAAUGGUUUUGCCUCGUCAAUGGGUCAAUGGGUGCCACUUUCCUUAUCUGGCCUGUGAUGGAAUUUCAAAGUAUUUGAGAAGAUGCGAACAAAUGCCACUCUCGGAGACUCUUGCGUCGCUUUGAUUUUGUUUUGUGUCAAUGAGAUGUGUGUUUUGCUCCAGGUUUUCCGACCGAAUGGAGCCCCCUUCUCUCUCUUUCUCUGCAAUACAUUUAGUCAUACUGAAUAAACGGUGGAGUUCUGAAUGGAGUUGAGCACCAGGGCCGGGGUGAGGUACAACCAUCACGUCGCCGUCGGGCACCAUCGAGGGGGCCGUGGACCCGCCUGCCCAAGCUUUCGCCGGCGACGAGGAGCGGGGACGGGGGCUCUCACGACCACACGGGAACGGGUUGAGCAACACCACUUCGGCCUAAUUGACAAUUCCGUCUGAGCGAAUCAAACGGCAAAGCGGAGCUGGCUGCAGCGGUGGCCUGCGGUAGCCUUCCGAGCCUCUGCCUCAGAGCAUCCCGGCCCUGAAGUCCCGACUGUAAACAAAAUCCUUGGAACCCGAACGAGCUAUUUGGAGACAAAACAAAAUCCUUUCGAUACUGAA